UAUUUAUAAUUAAUAAGAUUAUAUACCAAAUAAAAAACAAAUAUAAAAGAGCUAAACUUCUUAUAAUUAAAUAAACUAGUAAAUCAUAGACAUUUUAUGUUUCACUAGCAUUCUUAUGAAACUGCUCUUUUUGGUUUAUAUCCUACCUAAUGGAUCUUGAGAUAAAUAAGGAUAACGGGAAAGACUUGACAGCACUGCCUUUUGGCCUAUAUGUAUCGCUAAAUCUUUUGGUAGAUCUCCUGAUUCAAAGCAUAAGUAUCUGUGAUUUGACCCAUAGGCAAAAGUAGCUGAACAACACUGCUGUUGUUUUGGUUUUUGUCUCCUGUUGCUGUGGUCAGCUGGGUGUUGAGUGGGACUCCGUGCUGGAGAGCUGCUGUGAAGGCUCAGAACCAGAGCAUGACAGUUUAAGAGUCACAGGAAAUGAAACGGAAAGCUGAUUGACUUCUCACACAGAACAAAUCUCUAGGAUAGCUGAAAGAUUGCAGUUGGGAACAAAGACAGAUUCACUGCGUUUUCAGGGUAACCUCUGCACAUCCAGGCUUGGGGAGCUGGGAUACUCUCCUGCACCUUCCAGUAGGUUUGGAAAUUCAGUAGAUAUAUUAAGAGUAGAUCAGCCUUUGGGAGUGGAUGCCUCUUACAUUUUGAUAAAUAAAUUGCUUCAGGAUUUAAAGUAUAUCCACUGUAAGGAUGAGAUAUACUGGAUUAGAAUUAAGAGAUUUACUUGGUCUACUUUCCCCACAAAACCAACAUUCCUUCACAUCAAAUCACAGUGUGUUCCCAAGGCAUAAAUAGCAAUGAGCUUGACUUGAAACGUACUGUGGAAAUGAAGCCUCUUAUAUUUCUAAAAUAUAAUAGCAUUCUAAGAAUCUACAUGUAUAUAUUUGUUUUCAGAAGUCAGACGCUUAAUACUGUAUAAAACAUGUCCAGCCAUGCUUAAAACUUACGUUUUGAAAGAAUCGGCACUCAUAAUUUAUAUUUCUAAUUCUGUUUCAUCACUUUAAAUUUACAUCUGUGUAAUUAAAAUUUAUAGUGUGGUGAGUACUACAUAUAUAUCACAAUCAUAUGAUUUGAAAACCAUUACUAUUAGUAUACUCCUCUGAUCCUUAAGACAAUAUAAAUAAGAUAAAACUUGAAGUAGAUCAGCAUACAGCAGAUUAAUUCGUGAAACCAUCUUCUUAAUAAACAAUAAGCAUUUCCCAUGUUUGAUAUGGUCUAUUAUACAUUUAGAUGGCAGAAAUUAUUUUAAAAGUAUUCCAGUCUUUGAGUUAACUGGGUGAACUCUUACUAGUUACAUUAAAAAUUGUUACUAAACAGAUUUAUGUUUUCUGGCUUCAUAUGCCUAUGGCCAUCAUGAUCUGAAAAUAUGCAACAAUAUGCAACAAUAUGUAACAAUAUGCAACAAUAUGUAACAAUAUGCAACAAUAUGCAACAAUAUGUAGCAAUAUGUAAACAAUGUAUAUACUUAAAUUUUAGUGGUACUGAAUUUACAAAUCUGCUGAAACAGGCAUACCAGCUAUCCAAGGCUGACUCAAAUUUGGGUUUGCAGACAUUCUCCAUGAAAAGUCAAUGUUUUUUUUUUUUUCUUUAGUUCAUUUUAAAUCUUUUUUUUUCAUCUCCCUGUAUUCAAACAUGUUCUG
This 1637-nucleotide long non-coding RNA is filed under the name Mus musculus (house mouse). Its description in RNAcentral is "long non-coding RNA chr5:81118765-81120402". The record is from RNAcentral. Lineage: Eukaryota; Metazoa; Chordata; Mammalia; Rodentia; Muridae.